UUUCCUACGGGAGGCAGCAGUGGGGAAUAUUGGGCAAUGGGCGCAAGCCUGACCCAGCAGCGCCGCGUGAAGGAAGAAGGCUUUCGGGUUGUAAACGUCUUUUGUCAGGGAAGAGUAGAAGACGGUACCUGACGAAUAAGCCACGGCUAACUACGUGCCAGCAGCCGCGGUAAUACGUAGGGGGCAAGCGUUAUCCGGAUUUACUGGGUGUAGAGGGAGCGUAGACGGCAGCACAAGUCUGGAGUGAAAUCCCGGGGCUUAACCCCGGAACUGUUUUGGAAACUGUGCGGCUGGAG
Molecule: ribosomal RNA, 296 nt
Filed under: uncultured bacterium
Lineage: Bacteria
Description: partial 16S ribosomal RNA
Rfam family: Bacterial small subunit ribosomal RNA
Source: RNAcentral